This 253-nucleotide ribosomal RNA is filed under the name uncultured bacterium. RNAcentral's name for it is "partial 16S ribosomal RNA". It matches the Rfam family "Bacterial small subunit ribosomal RNA", at positions 524 to 776 of the family's 1533-position model. The record is from RNAcentral.
CACGGAGGGUGCAAGCGUUAUUCGGAAUCACUGGGCGUAAAGCGCGCGUAGGCGGUCUCUUAAGUCAGAUGUGAAAGCCCGGGGCUUAACCCCGGAAGUGCAUUUGAAACUAAGAGACUUGAGUAUGGGAGAGGGAAGUGGAAUUCCUGGUGUAGCGGUGAAAUGCGUAGAUAUCAGGAGGAACACCGGUGGCGAUGGCGACUUCCUGGACCAAUACUGACGCUGAGGCGCGAAGGCGUGGGGAGCAAACAGG